GACGAACGCUGGCGGCGUGCUUAACACAUGCAAGUCGAACGGAAAGGCCCUGCUUUUGUGGGGUGCUCGAGUGGCGAACGGGUGAGUAACACGUGAGUAACCUGCCCUUGACUUUGGGAUAACUUCAGGAAACUGGGGCUAAUACCGGAUAGGAGCUCCUGCUGCAUGGUGGGGGUUGGAAAGGUUCGGCGGUUGGGGAUGGACUCGCGGCUUAUCAGCCUGUUGGUGGGGUAGUGGCUUACCAAGGCUUUGACGGGUAGCCGGCCUGAGAGGGUGACCGGCCACAUUGGGACUGAGAUACGGACCAGACUCCUACGGGAGGCAGCAGUGGGGAAUAUUGCACAAUGGGCGGAAGCCUGAUGCAGCAACGCCGCGUGCGGGAUGACGGCCUUCGGGUUGUAAACCGCUUUCGCCUGUGACGAAGCGUGAGUGACGGUAAUGGGUAAAGAAGCACCGGCUAACUACGUG
This 468-nucleotide ribosomal RNA is filed under the name uncultured bacterium. Its description in RNAcentral is "partial 16S ribosomal RNA". It matches the Rfam family "Bacterial small subunit ribosomal RNA", at positions 28 to 507 of the family's 1533-position model. The record is from RNAcentral.